AGUGGGGAAUCUUGCGCAAUGGGCGAAAGCCUGACGCAGCGACGCCGCGUGAGGGAAGAAGGCCUUCGGGUUGUAAACCUCUUUCAGGAGGGACGAAGCCACUCGGGUUAAUAGCCCAGAGGGUGACGGUACCUCCAGAAGAAGCCCCGGCUAACUACGUGCCAGCAGCCGCGGUAAUACGUAGGGGGCAAGCGUUGUCCGGAAUCAUUGGGCGUAAAGCGCGUGUAGGCGGCCAGAUAAGUCCGCUGUGAAAACUCGAGGCUCAACUUCGAGCUGUCGGUGGAAACUAUCUGGCUAGAGUCCGGAAGAGGAGAGUGGAAUUCCUGGUGUAGCGGUGAAAUGCGCAGAUAUCAGGAAGAACACCCGUGGCGAAGGCGGCUCUCUGGGACGGUACUGACGCUGAGACGCGAAAGCGUGGGGAGCGAA
RNAcentral lists this ribosomal RNA (426 nucleotides) under uncultured Actinomycetes bacterium. RNAcentral's name for it is "bacterial SSU rRNA". It matches the Rfam family "Bacterial small subunit ribosomal RNA", at positions 353 to 772 of the family's 1533-position model. The record is from RNAcentral. Lineage: Bacteria; Bacillati; Actinomycetota; Actinomycetes.